RNAcentral lists this long non-coding RNA (5496 nucleotides) under Citrus x clementina. RNAcentral's name for it is "Citrus clementina (C. clementina) long non-coding RNA (CCLE_LNC006569)". Lineage: Eukaryota; Viridiplantae; Streptophyta; Magnoliopsida; Sapindales; Rutaceae. The record is from RNAcentral.
AUAAGAUAAACAAAAUAAAUGGCAGCUAUAUUCCACUUCUAAAAAAAAUAAAAAAUUCUGAAAGUAAUAGUAAAAUUAGUAAAAAUAUCUUAAAAUCACAAAAACAACCAAGAAAGUUUUUGGCUCAAAUAUGAGGCAAAAUGGCUAAAGCAUUUUUAGUUCUCGUUUGUCUUAUUGCAAGCCUCAAAAUGGCAUGUUACAUGGCCCAAAGGACACCUAUAGCUCGAGUUAUGACCUUGAGAAGGUACCCUCCUAAUCCUAUACACUCAUUUUACAUCAAUAACUACGUUGAGCAAUUUGAGUACCUUUUUCAUCAUUUCUCUAUCUUUACUCAAUUAAGGUUUAAUUAAUGAAAUGCCCCAUAUUGAUUUUUAAAAUCUAAUUCAAGUUAUGGUUCAAAUAUAUUUAUUGGGAACAAUCAGUAAUAUUAUGUGGCCUUUGUAAAAGGCUAAACAAGCCUACACCUCUAUAUAUCUUUACUAGACAUUAGGAAUAUAUCCGAAACAUAAGCCUUCCCAAUCAAACCAGGGUAUUGCCUUUUCAAUAGUCUUUGAUUAAUAUAAUUCCUUAAGCAUCAUAUAACAAGACUGGUAAAAAUUUAACCUAUAUAACACAUUAUGCCUAAAGUAAUUAACUUUCACACAUCCUCUUUAUAAAGUAGAUACUUGAUCAAAACAAAAUCACAAAGAGGAAAAUAUAACCAUGCAUAUGAUUUACACGUAUAUAAAUAUGCUUGACAUUAGUUUCUGUAUUGACAUGGGUAAAAACCAAGGCAAUAAAUUAAGAAAAUGACAUAUGAAUCAUAUUUCUAGGUAGGUGUUAUAGCAUUUUAUCAACAUGGAGCUUUAUAAAAUGAAUGAAAAGGUUGUACUUUUUUAUAUCUCCAUUAAAAGAUCAUUUUCAAAUCUAUUGAUGUAAAAAAUGAACUGAACUAAAAAUAUUACUACUUCAAAAUAAAAGCAUAGGUCAACCAAGAAACCGAAGAGUACAUUCAUUCAAUUUUUUGUCAAGCUCAUUAUAGAGGACUAGAAAUGUUAUUCUCUUCUAUAAGACCAAACAAUGUACCUAGCAAGCAUAUGAAAACAACAUUUUGCAGACUAGAGCUAUACACAUAUGCCUUGACUGUGAAUACAUUUAUUUCUUAUAGAAACCUUCUUAUGAACUGGCAAGUGCCUCUUCUUUAUCAUACUUAAAUUAGUUUAAAUUGAAACAAGUCAUAACUUAGUCCUACUUAGAACUAAUUCUAAAUUUGAAAGAAUUUAAGGAAAGAACUAACAAUAUUCACCAUGCAUAUUGCAUUUAUGUUUUUGUUUGAUGAAUAAACAAGAUUCCAACUUCGACAGUUUACCUCCAGCUAAGCUUCAAUAAAGCACAAUCAUGUGACUGCUCUGAGUGCACUUGCAACCCUAAUAAGGGAGAAUCAAUGAACCACUCUUCAACAACAUAACUAGUUUCUAUCUUUAGAACAUGAAGAGACCAUUUAUGACUCUUUCUAUGAUCAACAUUCAAAUAAUUAUCAACUCUCCAAAGCAUUAAAAAACUUUCCAAUUAUGCAAUGAAGCAAAGAAAAAUCAUAACAUAUCCAUAAAAAAAGCAACCAACUUUCCAUUUUCAGCUAGUUUACAUGAAUCCAAGCUAAUAAUCACUAAAUCUGGAUUAUCUUUAAACCUAAAUAAUGAAUCAACCAAUGUUAAAAUCUCAAAUUUUUUUAAGAGAUAAAAAAUUAAACUUUAAAUGCUCAAUUACAUUUGCCAUGAAUUUUUGUUAGAUAGAUUAUAAUAGAGAAACAUAAUUAAGUUGGAAGUACACAAAAUACCUAAUUUAGAAAUCAAACUAAAUUCAAAAUCAAACCUUAGGUGGUAAAGAUAGGCACAACAAUAGGGUUGCACAGUGGAGUGGUAGUAAAGUUAGUGUCGCAUGAUGAGGUGGUAUUGAAGCUGGUGUUGCGCAGUGGGUAGGUGUCACACGAUACGGUGGUAGUGGAAUUGGUGUCAUACGGCGAAAGAAGAUGGUGUGGUGGUGGAGCGUCGUGGAGUUGGCGUUUGUUGAGCCACUGCACGAAGAGAACAACAAGGAGAACUUGUUGAGUCACAACAUAAAUAUGAGAAUGAUAGUGAGAAUGAAAGUGAAUUUUUAUUUUAUGUCUCAACUAAUUACAAACCUGUAUAAACCUAAACCUCCACAAGUUCAACUAAUUACAAACCUGUAUAAACCUAAACCUCCGCAAGUUUACUUUAUGCGGGUUUGACCACAUUAAAAUUUUGGUAAGACCACAUUAAAAUACUAUGUAUUGUAAUUACCAAACAUGGUAUUAUAACAUUAUAAUACUAUAAGGGGCUCCAAUACCAUAUACUAAGGAGUACAAACAUGCCUUAAAAGUUCAUUUGGUACUCCCCACUAUAUGAUAUUAAAGCCCCUCAUAGUAUUAAAGUAUUACAACAAAAUGAUUGGCAAUUAUAACACAUCGUAUUAGCUAAUAUUUUAAUGUGAUAGAACUUACAUAAACUAAACCUGGUGUGAAGGGCAGAGGAUUUAUGCAAGUUUGUAUUAAUUUUGGGAGAAAAUUAAAAGCCCCUCUCACUUUCCUUCUUUUCGUGUAGUGGCUCAACAAAUGCAUAAUGUUGACUUUUGUUCUCAACUCCACAACACUCCACCGCUAUGCCAUUUUAUUUCGUUGCUUGAUAGGUAACUCCACCACCACCCCACCACACAACACCCACUAUCUUCCUUGCCCUUCAUCACUUACAUCAUUGAGUUGUAGGUUUGAUUUAUGGAUUAGGGUUUGAUUUUUGAAUUUUUUUUAGAAUCAAUUUUAUUAAUGAUUGAAUUGAUUUUUGAAUUAUGGUUUAAUUUUUUUAUAUUCAAUUUUUGUCUAAUCAAUGCGCUAUUGAUUAGUUUUUGUUAUUUCAUAUGGUGAGUUUAAAGUUAAGUGCUUGAGGAUUGAGUUUAGGUUGAUGUUCAAAUGAUGUUGACUUACUGAUAACUCUAGAAAAUGAGAGUUAUUAUAUCCUUUCUAGACUUAAAUCAAUAUCACUUAGAGAUCAAAUAAGGUGUUUUUAUUAUAUUUUUGUUAUAUUUUGCAUAAACAUUUAUUUUAGUUGAGUCUUAAUAAUUUUUGCUUAAAUCAAAGUAAUUUGUGCUAAAAACAAGUGCAUAAUUGUAUGUUUUCAGAAAGUCUUGAUUCAUGAGGGGAUGUUGAGACAUUAGAUGAGCAAGAAGAGGAAAGAAGACGACCGCAAAAGAAGUAAAGCACAAUCGGGAAUAGUGUAGUGUGGUUGCGAAAGUUAGAGCAACCAGUGCUGUAGCAAUCUGGGAACAAUGCAGGAGAAAACUUAGGCGCGGGUCAGCCACAGAAUCGCAAUCUGCAUGUUUCCUAAUUUAACGCAUGCACGCCCAUGAACUUUUAUUUUUACCCUAGUUUGCAGUAUAAAAGGGAGGCGUGCACCACAUAGAAAGGCGGCAAGGGAAUUAUCAUUAGAAUAAUUACAAAGGAAAGAAAAAGAAGAUCAGAAUUACAGAGUGCUGUUUCGGCAACAUUGAAGAAUCGUGCAAAAUUAUUUGGAUUUGUCUUUCAUCGUGCUCAACUUAUAAUUAUCUUCUUCUUUUAAUUGUUUUGAUGUAUCCCAUGAUCAAUAUAUUUAUGUUUAUUUUUCUCAUUCAGAAUAUGAACUAUACUUGUUUGUAGUUGAGUGACAAGCAAUCCAAUGAGGUCUUGACUGUUCUUAUGUGUUGUUAUGUCAUUGCUGUAGCAUUUUACUCUAUUAGCUUUUAUGAAUAUAACUAUUAUUUCGGUUGACCACCCAUUUGACAGUUUCAGUUAAGAUAGAGCAGCAAAAGGGUAUGUCUUAGCGGAUAUUAUUAGAGUAUUACUUGAUCUUAAGUUAAGUUUCCUGGAUUAAGUUAUCUUGAAUCCCAUAAGGGCAAUACUUGAAGUUAAGAUUUGUGACACACUAGACAUAGGUGUUCACCUUGCAGGGUGGAGAGAUUAAAGAUCAUAACGCCAUACCAUAAGUAGAUUAGCAACUGGUCCUUGUUAAUAGAUUUAAGGGUAUGAGACUUCCAAUAUGCGAUAGCUGAGGAUGCAGAUAAAUUCUGCCCAGUGCUGCAACACUUGCCGUAACAAUUGGUGCUAACUUGAUGAAAAACAGUCAGCCUAUAAGGAGAGUUUGAUCAUUCAACUACCAUAAUUUCAAUUGAAUCUUAGACACAUUUUAUCUAAUAUUUUAUUACGGUAUUGUUUUAUUUAAUUCUCUCAUAAUCAUCAAUCAUGAUAAAACUUAAUUUACGAUUGUUAACUUCGGCCUUAAGUUGGUUUGCACUAUUGUGAUUACUAUAGCAUUUCGAGUAGCAUCAAUCCUUGUGGAGACGAUCUUGAAUAUUCAUCACUUUAUUACUUAUUGUGUAUACUUGCACAUUGGCAUUGGUAGCAAUUGCUUAUAAAAUUAACCAACACUUAAUAACCUAAAAUUUUAAUUAUUUACCUUUUUUGAAGUAAGAAUGGUCAUUAGAAGGCAAAUUGGUAGUUGGACCGAUGAGAUUGAUGCUUAAAGAGACUGAUUUACAACUAAAUAAUUUGAAAUUUUCAUGCUAAGUGUCGUUAUAAUCAUUUUCCCCAUUGUUAUCAUUCUAGUUUGCUACCCUAUAUAAGUUGUUUCAUUUAUUAUAAUUUUUAUUUUUAUUGUGAAUUAAGAGUUUGAUAUUUUAAACUACAAGAUGAUAGUUCAUCAUGAACUUUGGAACCAAGCAACUAUAAACCAUCUCUAAGAUUCUACUAGAAACUACUGCAGUACACUUGAUAAACCAAUUGACAAAAAAAUUGAAACUCACCAAUAAAAAAUUUAAUAGAAGUAGGAAGUGAUCGGCAUUAAAGGCCUGGAUUAACAAUAAUUGGUUUAGUUACAAAAUACAUGCCCUUUCCCCAAUUUCAAUUUCAUUGGCUUUGUCAAACUUCUCGUGUUCAUAUAAAAUUCUUAGAGAUGUUUGAAAUGUCAAAAGACAACAAAAGCUGUACUUGUCUAUAUGAAACUUGAAAUGUACCUAUAAAGUCUUUUUCCUUUAUGUUAAAAGGAUGCUAAUUUUUUUGAAAUAUUCAAGGGAUCCAUAAAAAUUUUAACCCUUUACUUUUGCAUACAAUUUGGGAGAUUUAUAUAGAUUUUAAAGUUAUGAAAACUUUGGUUUGAAUUUUGAAUGAAUAAUGUUAUUAUAGACAUUAAGCAUGUCGCAGGAUACUGAAAUAUUACUACGCGUUAUUACUAGUCGAUGGGAAAAUGCUAAUGGCUGGUAUGGUGAUUAAUAGAGUUGGUCAAACAUGUCAUCAAUUCAUGUUCGUGUUGUAUUAGCUUUGUGUCGUGUCAAAUUUAGGUCACCCCAAACAUGACCCAUUUAAUAAUCAUGUUAAAAUAUUGAGAUCCUAACCCAACACGAAAAUUAAAUGUGUUACCUAAUAACGCGCUUAAUAUCUAUAUAUUUAACAAAAUGUAAUGUGUGUGUAUAUAU